UUAAUUUAGGGAUGAAUUAUUUUUAUGUAAUGAUGUAAAUACCAGAAAUAGUUCUUCAUUAUAAGGCAUACAUGUCAAACUAUUACAAAAGGAAAAGUAUAAUAAAAUUAGAUCUCGUAUUGAAAUCUCAUAUAAGGCAUACAUGUCAAAACAUGAAGUAUUCGUGUUCUAUUGUAGGUAGUUUCUUGCCCUUGUGCACUGGGUCUUGCAACACCCACAUCAAUCCUAGUUGGCACUUCUCUUGGAGCAAGGCAAGGACUCCUUGUGAGAGGAGCAGAUGUAUUGGAACGCUUGGCCAAUAUAGAUCAUAUUGCUUUAGACAAGACAGGAACCCUCAUUGAAGGAAAACCUACUGUUUCUAGCAUUGCUUCUUUCAAGUAUAAAGACUCGGAAAUUCUUCAAAUAGCUGCUGCUCUAGAGAGUACAACAUCACAUCCAAUUGCUGAUGCUAUCUUAAACAAAGCCAAAUCAUUGGAGUUGAGUAUCCCAGUCACAAAAAGACAAUUAACCGAACCAGGUUUUGGAACAUUAGCAGAAGUAGAUGGCCUUUUGGUUGCAGUGGGUUCUUUGGAAUGGGUUCAUGAACGUUUCCAGAGAAGAACAGAUCAAUCUGACAUUUCAAAACUAGAGCAUGCCGUGCAUCAAUCAUCAGAAGGCAUAACAUCCUCAAAUUAUUCAAAAACAAUUGUAUAUGUUGGACGUGAAGGGGAAGGUAUCAUCGGUGGUAUUGCAAUAUCCGACAGC
This is a long non-coding RNA of Rosa chinensis, 744 nucleotides long. RefSeq lists it as uncharacterized. The record is from RefSeq and is a predicted model, not a curated record. The transcript has 3 exons. Lineage: Eukaryota; Viridiplantae; Streptophyta; Magnoliopsida; Rosales; Rosaceae.